CCUACGGGCGGCUGCAGUGAGGAAUAUUGGUCAAUGGGCUUACGCCUGACCCAGCAAAGUCGCGUGAGGGAAGACUGCCCUCUGGGUUUUAAACCUCUUUUUUCAGGGCGCAAUUGGCGCUACUUGUAGCGGUAUCGAGAGUACCUGAAGAAAAACCAUCAGCUAACUCCGUGCCAGCAGCCGCGGUAAUACGGGGGAUGCGAGCGUUAUCCGGAUUUAUUGGGUUGAAAGGAUGCGUAGGCGGAAUGCCCAGUCAGCGGUAAAAUCGCGGGGCUCAACCUCGCUCCGCAGUUGAAACUGGCGUUCUUGAGUGGGCGAGAAGUAUGCGGAAUGCGGGGUGUAGCGGUGAAAUGCAGAGAUAUCAGGAAGAACUCCGAUUGCGAAGGCAGCAUACUGGAGCCCAACUGACGCUGAAGCACGAAAGCGUGGGUAUCGAACAGGAUUAGAUACCCUAGUAGUC
This 460-nucleotide ribosomal RNA is filed under the name uncultured bacterium. RNAcentral describes it as "partial 16S ribosomal RNA". It matches the Rfam family "Bacterial small subunit ribosomal RNA", at positions 338 to 795 of the family's 1533-position model. The record is from RNAcentral.